AGCCCAACCCCUAGCCCAACCAUAACUGCCCCAAACAGAAAAAUUAAGAAUUGACUUGCCCUACUAAACCAAAACAUUUGUUUCCCAUCUUAGUAUAGGCGAUAGAAAAGAAACCUGGCGCAAUAGAAACUAGUACCGUAAGGGAAAGGUGAAAUAAUAAUGAAAAACUUAAGCAAUAAAUAGCAAAGAUUAACCCUUGUACCUCUUGCAUCAUGAUCUAGCAAGAAUAACCAAGCAAAAUGAACUUAAGCUUGCCGUCCCGAAACCCAGGCGAGCUACUCGCAAGCAGCUACCCUUGAGCGAACCCGUCUCUGUGGCAAAAGAGUGGGAUGACUUGCUAGUAGAGGUGAAAAGCCAACCGAGCUGGGUGAUAGCUGGUUGCCUGUGAAAUGAAUCUAAGUUCCCUCUUAAUUUUCCUCCACGGACCAUUUAAUCCAACCCCCAUGAAGCAAAUCAAGAGCAAUUUAAAGGAGGUACAGCUCCUUUAAAAAAGAACACAAUCUCCUGCAGCGGAUAAAUAUUAACUACUCAUACUGACUGUGGGCCUUCAAGCAGCCAUCAAAAAAGAAUGCGUCAAAGCUCUUUAAACAGAAAAAAUUCUAAAAUAGAACGACUCCCUUACAAGCUAGCAGGUAACCUAUCAACCAUAGGAGAAUUAAUGCUAAAAUGAGUAACUAAGGAGGACCUCCCCUCUCCUCUCGAGCGCACGCUUACACACCCGUUAUUAACAGACUAACAAUACUUCAACACCAACAAGCCCAAGUAUUAACACACCUGUUAACCCGCCCACAGGAGCGCCUACUAGAAAGAUUAACAUCUGUAAAAGGAACUAGGCAAACCCAAGGCCCGACUGUUUACCAAAAACAUAGCCUUCAGCAAACCAAGUAUUGGAGGUGAUGCCUGCCCAGUGACCCAAUGUUCAACGGCCGCGGUAUCCUAACCGUGCAAAGGUAGCGCAAUCAAUUGUCCCAUAAAUCGAGACUUGUAUGAAAGGCUAAACGAGGUCUUAACUGUCUCUUACAGAUAAUCAGUGAAAUUGAUCUCCCUGUGCAAAAGCAGGGAUUAACCCAUAAGACGAGAAGACCCUGUGGAACUUGAAAAUCAGCUACCACCCCUCACAAACUUGAACCUAUUAGGUCUACCCUUAUUAAAGUGCUGGUAUACAUUUUUCGGUUGGGGCGACUUUGGAGAAAAACGAAUCCUCCAAACAUAAGACUACACCUCUUAAUCAAGAGCAACUUCUCAACAUACUAAUAGUAACCAGACCCAGUAUAAUUGAUUAAUGGACCAAGCUACCCCAGGGAUAACAGCGCAAUCUCCCCCGAGAGCUCAUAUCGACAGGGAGGUUUACGACCUCGAUGUUGGAUCAGGACAUCCUAAUGGUGCAGCCGCUAUUAAGGGUUCGUUUGUUCAACGAUUAAUAGUCCUACGUGAUCUGAGUUCAGACCGGAGCAAUCCAGGUCGGUUUCUAUCUAUGUUAAACUUCCCCUAGUACGAAAGGACCGGAGAAGUGAGGCCAAUACCACAAGCAUGCCUCCCCUUACAAAUAAUGACCUCAACUUAAUUAUCAAAAAGGUUACCACUCCCAUUGCCCUAGAAAAGGGCCCAG
RNAcentral lists this ribosomal RNA (1609 nucleotides) under Opisthocomus hoazin. Its description in RNAcentral is "16S ribosomal RNA". The stretch from base 93 to 1525 matches the Rfam family "Bacterial large subunit ribosomal RNA". The record is from RNAcentral. Lineage: Eukaryota; Metazoa; Chordata; Aves; Opisthocomiformes; Opisthocomidae.